CGCUGGCGGCGUGCCUAACACAUGCAAGUCGAACGGAGUUGCCCUUCGGGACAACUUAGUGGCGAACGGGUGAGUAACGCGUGAGGAACCUGCCUUUCAGAGGGGGACAACAGUUGGAAACGACUGCUAAUACCGCAUGACACAUUCGGGCGGCAUCGCUUGAAUGUCAAAGAUUUUAUCGCUGAAAGAUGGCCUCGCGUCUGAUUAGCUAGUUGGUGAGGUAACGGCCCACCAAGGCGACGAUCAGUAGCCGGUCUGAGAGGAUGAACGGCCACAUUGGGACUGAGACACGGCCCAAACUCCUACGGGAGGCAGCAGUGGGGAAUCUUCCGCAAUGGGCGCAAGCCUGACGGAGCAACGCCGCGUGAGUGAAGAAGGUUUUCGGAUCGUAAAGCUCUGUUGAGAGGGACGAGAGAUAUAAUCAGGAAAUGGGUUAUAGAGGACGGUACCUUUCGAGGAAGCCACGGCUAACUACGUG
RNAcentral lists this ribosomal RNA (478 nucleotides) under uncultured bacterium. Its description in RNAcentral is "bacterial SSU rRNA". It matches the Rfam family "Bacterial small subunit ribosomal RNA", at positions 34 to 507 of the family's 1533-position model. The record is from RNAcentral.